AGAACGAACGCUGGCGGCAGGCUUAACACAUGCAAGUCGAACGGUUGUAGCAAUACAGCAGUGGCAGACGGGUGAGUAACACGUGGGAACCUUCCUAGGGGUACGGAACAACUCAGGGAAACUUGAGCUAAUACCGUAUACGUCCGUGAGGAGAAAGUUUUAACGCCCCGUAGACGGGCCCGCGUAGGAUUAGGUAGUUGGUGAGGUAAUGGCUCACCAAGCCUACGAUCCUUAGCUGAUCUGAGAGGAUGAUCAGCCACACUGGGACUG
This 270-nucleotide ribosomal RNA is filed under the name uncultured soil bacterium. RNAcentral's name for it is "partial 16S ribosomal RNA". It matches the Rfam family "Bacterial small subunit ribosomal RNA", at positions 26 to 321 of the family's 1533-position model. The record is from RNAcentral.